This is a non-coding RNA of Paramisgurnus dabryanus, 1611 nucleotides long. NCBI's taxonomy places the organism in Eukaryota, Metazoa, Chordata, Actinopteri, Cypriniformes, Cobitidae. The record is from RefSeq and is a predicted model, not a curated record.
UCAGUUUUACGUUGGCUUCCGGUCUAGCAUUAUCCGAUAGCAAGACGUGGUGGUAGUGUGGUCUUUUUGUCAUUUUCAACUAACUAGCGAUAGCAAUUUAUAAUAUUAUACAUAUUAUCAACCUUAGUUACAUAAUAGUUUUAGUUUGUUAUAUUUAUACAACAUUGUAGUUUUGAGUUCAACACGCUUUAAGGUGCGAACAUGAUUACUGUUCAUCUCCCGUUCCGGCGGCAGUCGAUCUUUCUUUAGAUCAAACUGAAGAACUCCGAAAGGAGGUGAAGCGCUUGAAGAAGCAAGUGGAAGAGCUGUCUGUCCGUCACAGUUUUUGCUUGGGGCGUUUUGCUGCAUCUGACGAUGACAUACGGUUCUUUACUAGGUUUGUGACCUACAGUCAUCUCAUGGCGUUCUGGAGACUCAUUGAGCCUGCAACCAACAGAAUGGUUCGUGUGACAAGGGCAAAAGCAGCUACAAGAAGUGGUAGCAACAGGCAAUGCAUCUGGUCAAUCCCUAAUGUCGGCUGAUGAGGUAAGGAAGACGCAGUCCAUUGCUCGUCUGAGGGUCCACGUUGAGGGUAUCAUCCGCAGGGUGAAGCAACACAAACUGUUUGAUGCUGUCAUCCCUCUUUCAAUCACAGGAAGCAUAAACCAGCUAUACACUGUUGCUUGCCUUCUUGUCAACUACCAGAAUGGGCCCUUGGUAAAAGCAUGGGCAAUGGAUUAAAGACUUUGUAUGGGAUGGAUACAUUUUGAUUGGCAGAGAAUCCUAUGUAAAUUAAAUGUAUUUGCUAUGUAUGUUUUUGUAAUCGAGUAACAGAAGCAUUUCUUUCACAAUGCUAAUGUAAAAACUGUAAUGCAGCAAUGUCAAUAAGUAAUUUUGAUGCCGUUUUAAUGUACACUACUAAUGUAAACAUGAAAAUAACUUUGAUACAGUUUCUGUAAACAUGUAAAUAACUGAUACAGUGUUUCUGUAAACAAGAAAAUAUAAAUAACUUUCAUAAAGCUAAGCUUGUAAAGUGCACCACUAAUGUAAACAUGUAAAUAACUUUGAUGCAGCUGAGCGCCACUAACGUAAACAUGUAAAUAACUGUGAUACAGCUUGUAAGGUAUAGUUCACCCAAAAAUGAAAAUUCUGUCAUCAUUUAUGGAUAAUCUUAAGACCAUCUAAGUGUAUUCAACUGUGUAUUCUGCUUUGAGAGACCAUGAAUAUGAACUGAAAUGUAUGUAGUUACCAAUUGUAGUGAACUUAAACCCAUUUUUGUCUAAAAGUAAGGUUUGAGUUUACUUUAGGUUUUGAGAGAUAGUAUCUUAAAGGUGUGUUUUAAUUUAUAUUGUUGAUGUCUAAAAAAUUGCACAGUUGAGUACACUUACAUGUUCUCAAGUUUAUCAUAGGAGGUACUAAAGAAGAAAUUUCAGUACAUUUCAUUAAAAAAAAAUGGACAAUGACAGAAAUGACAAAAUGUCAAUUAAAAGACCCCGAAUUAUCGAGCAUUUGCAUAAACAAUGACUUAUUUAGCUUUUAAAGUGCUAAACAUUUACUUAAGAUACUUGCAUAAAUGUACUGAAGAAAUUGUUAUAAAUUUAAUAAGACAAUAAACUUAAAAUAUAAACAACA